Octopus sinensis (East Asian common octopus) is the source of this 2769-nucleotide RNA transcript. It is a transcript of the gene named B-cell lymphoma 3 protein, with no coding region annotated. The transcript has 8 exons. The record is from RefSeq and is a predicted model, not a curated record. NCBI's taxonomy places the organism in Eukaryota, Metazoa, Mollusca, Cephalopoda, Octopoda, Octopodidae.
UUUUCCCCCCCGAAACAGAUUUCCUUUGUCGUAAUAGAUAAUACGUGGUGACGUUUUGCCGCAAUUGUGAAACCCACCCAUACUAGAAAAAAACUUCAUUGGUUGGUCACAUUAGAAGUAGGAAGGAAAACUUGUAUUAGUUUCGUUUUUUUUUUUUUUUUUCCUUCUUUUCUGUUUCACUUAUUCACAAUCCAGAAAUAUGGCAACGUAUUACGUUUAUAUGGUUAAGCAAUGAUUUUAAGAUGACAUUUUAUAUUAAAUAUGUCCCGAAUUAAUUUUAAAAACAGUGGAAAAAAUGAAGGUAUGAGUUAUUCUUAAUGAAAACAAAAUCCAGGAUUGUUUUGAAUGUUAUAAAUUGAAUUACGAUUGAAACAAGUAAAAUGGAUGUUGUGUCUCGAAAUUGUGAAUUAAAACCGUUGAAUAAGAGUUGUGGAAAUGUAAACAUAGACGAAUCAGAUGAAUCACAUUCUAUAGCUGUUGAAGUGUUGGCAAGUCUUUUAAGCGGAACUUCAUAUCAAAGUGAAAAUGUUAAGCAGCAAAUAGAUUUACCAAUAUACCCCCCUCUAAAUUUGAACGAUGGAUAUGCAAAGGAAAUGUCUUCGUUUGCUAAUUUACCAUCGGGGAAGUCGAUGGUAAGCAGUUAUUUACAACCAACUGUUACUUCGAAUAAUCCGUGUUCAAUACCAAAUCUCAGUAUCAAUAUCAGCCGCACAUACUAAUAUCUGAAGCUAACAAAACUUGUCCUUUUGUACUUUCCACCAGUAUUCCACUAACUACAUCGAAGUCUGACUUAACUUUACCGAUCGAGACCGAUACGACUAACGAUUCAAAUUUGCCCUAUCUGAAUAAGGAUAGUAUGAUGAAGAUCCACCCCGAUAAUGUUGAUUCUCUACUGAUUGUUAAGCGUACCUCCAACGAUUCAAAAAUGUAUAAAGUGAAAAAAGUAAAAAUAGAUGAAAUUCUAAACAUACUAAACGAUAAUAGAACGAGGAAGUCUAGUAUUUUGUCGAAUGUGUCUUCAGAUGAUAGCUGCAGCAAGAAGUCCGAACUUUUAACGAAAAAGCGGUUGAUGGCCCAGUUUGCAGUCAACUCAACAAAUCAAUCGAGGGAGAAUUUUUCGCGAUUGUUUCACUUUCCAGAUUUUAAAAUUAACACUGACUCAAUGGAUGACAGCCAACAUUUAAAGAAUACAAUUGGAUUGUUUUCCCGAAACAGUUUAGAAAACAGGACGAAAAGUUGUUUACCUCUGAAAAAAAGGAAAAUAAAGUCGACUUUUCAGGCAACCAAACCUUUUAAACCCCACAAUACAAAUGUCUCUGUUGUUACAGGUGAUAAAGAAAAGUUAAUCCUGAUUUACAAAUCCGAACAAAGUCAACUAUUAACUGACAAUGAUGAAAAACUGAGAAAAAAGAUCGAAAUUGCUCUAAAACAGGAUGAAGAUGGUGACUUGCCGCUACAUAUAGCUGUUGCACACAAGAAUCUAGCAUCAAUUGGAUCUUUCUGCAAGCUGAUUCAACAAGCGGGGAAAACUGUUGAUCGCUUUAAUAAAAAGAAGUUUACUCCUUUGCAUUUAUGUGUGAAAAUGAAUUAUAGUAAGGGUGUGAGGAAGUUAAUAAAGAUGGGUGCUGACAUGAACUUGUCUGAUGGCAAAGGAAAUUCUGCUGUUCAUUUAGCAGUUUCCUAUUCACACUUUGAAUGCUUUGAUGUUAUACUAAAGACAUGUUCUUCUAUGGAAAAUUGUAAACCAAAUUUAGAUUCCCAUAAUUAUGAAGGUUUAACACCCCUGCAUACAUCUGUCCAAAAGCAGAACAUUGAAAUGGUCAGGAAACUUUUAAAAGCUGGGGCUGAUCCAGAUAGUAAGGAUUACAAGAGUGGCCGGACACCUUUAUUCUUUGCUGUUGAAAACAAAAAUGAAGACAUUAUAAAAUUAUUGCUAGAGAAUAAAGCUUCCAUUGACAUUCAAAAUUUUGCUGGACAUACUCCUUUUCUUGUCGCUAAUGGUCGUAAAUACCCAGAAAUUUGUAAGUUAUUAGUUGAUCAGGGAGCAGAUUCUCAUGGAAUGACAUUUGAUGAUUUGGCCUGCAACUACAAGACAUCAAAUAUAAAGUAUCAGUUGAAAAAUAAAUUAGUAGCCAACCAGUCCAGUUAAAAUCAUAACUGAAAAUUUUAUGGCUAUCUUGAGAAUGGUUCUUUCAAGGAAAAUUUGGGAAGUUAUCAGACCCAGCUUGAAAUUUUGGUUAGUGCUUUCCUCAUCAUUUUCUGAAACAGGCUGAAGAUACGCAGAAGAUGAACCAUUGGCCCUUUUGGAGUCAUUUCCAUACCUAAUCAUUAUAUUUUGUAGUAGAGGUUCUGAACGAGAGGGAAAGAUGUGAGACGACCACCAAAAAUGGCUGUGCAGAAGUUUUUGGUAUCUGGAAGUAUUCUGACAAAUUCUCGCCACAGGUCAUGUGCAACAUAACAGUGUCUGGCUGAUGAAGAUGUUACCAUAUUGAAAGAUUGGCCAGCUCAGAGCCGUGACUUAAAAUAUCAUCGAGCAAAUGUGGACAGAACUUAAGAGAAGUGUUCAUGAGAAGAAUCCAUGAAGAGUUGUGGAGCUCAGCCAUAGAGAAUGGUAUCCCAUACAUGUGAAGAUGGUGAAGGAUUUGCAUGCAACUCUUCCCAGGCACAUUGAAACAAUUAUUCAAUUUAAGGGAAGCCACAUGAAAUAUAAACAAUGUACAGUAAUUUCUUGAAAUGAAUAUUAUGUAAUAAAUUUUCAUUAUAGGCAUU